UGCGCGCACUCUUCUUUAAUGCGCGCGAGCUUGGCAAAUCUAUCCCAUAAAACCUCUCGCGCUUGAAAUCCAAGAUGGCGGCUGAAUGGACACAGUUCGUAAUGACAUUAGAAAAACGUUGAAAAAAGCAAAUUUAUCAAAGAAAAAGGCUAUGAAAAGUUUUGUAAUUGCUCUCUCUUUUAAGUAAUAAUUAUUUCCAUGCCAAAGAAGAAGAAGCAAGAAAUCUGUGGCAAGGAAGCCUGUGCAAUACAAAAAUGUUUACGAGAAAACAAUUACCAAGAAAACAGGUGUAAGAAUGUGAUUGAUUUUUUUAUGUUAUGCUGUGAGAAGAAUUCAGAAGCUGAAUCAAUACACUGCUCUGGUUUCAAGACCAAAAACUUUAAAAAGACAUAAAAAACAAAAACAUGUACUAGUAAAAUCCUUUCUUCUUCAGUAAAACAUUUUACAUAUA
This is a long non-coding RNA of Actinia tenebrosa (Australian red waratah sea anemone), 451 nucleotides long. The record is from RefSeq and is a predicted model, not a curated record. Lineage: Eukaryota; Metazoa; Cnidaria; Anthozoa; Actiniaria; Actiniidae.